Molecule: unclassified non-coding RNA, 280 nt
Filed under: Banhegyia sp.
Lineage: Eukaryota; Fungi; Ascomycota; Dothideomycetes; Patellariales; Patellariaceae
Description: partial contains 5.8S ribosomal RNA, internal transcribed spacer 2, and large subunit ribosomal RNA
Rfam family: 5.8S ribosomal RNA (bases 1-71)
Source: RNAcentral
GUGAAUCAUCGAAUCUUUGAACGCACAUUGCGCCCUUUGGUAUUCCGAAGGGCAUGCCUGUUCGAGCGUCAUUUUAGCCCUCAAGCCCCGCUUGAUGUUGGGCGCGGUCCGGCAGGACCCGCCCGGAACUCGUUGGGCGGGACCGCGUGGCUCCGAGCGUAGCAAGAUCCGUCCCUCGCUCCGGAGGCCCCGCGGCCCUCGCCCGGGAACCGCCCCCACCGCUUGACCUCGGAUCAGGUAGGGAUACCCGCUGAACUUAAGCAUAUCAAUAAGCGGAGGA